This 666-nucleotide unclassified non-coding RNA is filed under the name Hevea brasiliensis (rubber tree). Lineage: Eukaryota; Viridiplantae; Streptophyta; Magnoliopsida; Malpighiales; Euphorbiaceae. The record is from RNAcentral.
GCCGCCGCCACCACCACCACCUCCGUAUCUUCUUCUCAAUCUCCGGCAGCCUUCCGUUCGUCGGUCACUUUCUUCCCUCGCCACUUCAGUACCGUAUCAGAGAAUGUUGUUAAGAAAGUGGAGGAUGUAAUGCCGAUUGCAACUGGUCAUGAGCGUGAGGAGCUUGAAGCUGAGCUCCAAGGAAGGGAUAUUCUUGACAUUAACUUUCCUGAAGGUCCUUUUGGUACAAAGGAAGCGCCUGCUGUUGUCAAAUCCUACUAUGAUAGAAGAAUUGUAGGAUGCCCUGGAGAUGAAGGAGAAGAUGAGCAUGAUGUUGUUUGGUUCUGGCUUGAGAAGGGCAAGCCACAUGAAUGCCCAGUAUGCUCACAGUAUUUUGUGUUGGAAGUGGUUGGACCUGGAGGACCUCCUGAUGGACAUGGCAGUGAUGAUGAGGGUCAUCAUUGAUAGUCCGUCUUGCAAUUUUUUGUCGGAAUAAAUUUGGUUGAGACAAUGAGAGAUUACUCGUUUUAUAAACUGAUGAUUCAAAGCUGUGUUCUUUCUUUGCCUUUACUGGAUUAUUGUUCUUAUGCUUGCUGUGGUAGCACUGAAGUUGAAUAUUUUUGCUUAUAUAUUUUAUACAAUUGACAUGUAUGUCGUGGUCUACUUGAAAUAUAGACCCAGUUUCUU